Onthophagus taurus is the source of this 238-nucleotide long non-coding RNA. RefSeq lists it as uncharacterized. The record is from RefSeq and is a predicted model, not a curated record. Lineage: Eukaryota; Metazoa; Arthropoda; Insecta; Coleoptera; Scarabaeidae.
UUCGCUUCCUUCUUUCCUUAAAUCCUAAAGGAAUACAAAUUUGCACAAUUCCUCCCCGCAAAAACUUCGAGUCUGUGAACGAAAUCAAUCAUUACAUUCGACGGUUUUGUGCUGAAAAGCAAAUCAAUUGUACCGACAUUGAAGCAAUUGUUAACAGAAACAUGAUGGAAGGGGAUGGCAUUCACUUAAAUGAACAAGGAUUGGAAGCGGUCUGAAACGCGGUAGCAAGUAAUUAUAA